CCUGGCUCAGAAUGAACGCUGGCGGCAGGCUUAACACAUGCAAGUCGAACGCCCCGCAAGGGGUGUGGCAGACGGGCGAGUAACGCGUGGGAACAUACUCUUUCCCGCGGAAUAGCUCCGGGAAACUGGAAUUAAUACCGCAUACGCCCUCCGGGGGAAAGGUUUAUCGGGGAAAGAUUGGCCCGCGUUGGAUUAGCUAGUUGGUGGGGUAAAGGCCUACCAAGGCGACGAUCCAUAGCUGGUCUGAGAGGAUGAUCAGCCACAUUGGGACUGAGACACGGCCCAAACUCCUACGG
RNAcentral lists this ribosomal RNA (296 nucleotides) under uncultured bacterium. RNAcentral describes it as "partial 16S ribosomal RNA". It matches the Rfam family "Bacterial small subunit ribosomal RNA", at positions 18 to 344 of the family's 1533-position model. The record is from RNAcentral.